Molecule: small nuclear RNA, 190 nt
Organism: Physeter macrocephalus (sperm whale)
Lineage: Eukaryota; Metazoa; Chordata; Mammalia; Artiodactyla; Physeteridae
Gene: U2
Rfam family: U2 spliceosomal RNA
About the family: U2 is a small nuclear RNA (snRNA) component of the spliceosome (involved in pre-mRNA splicing). Complementary binding between U2 snRNA (in an area lying towards the 5' end but 3' to hairpin I) and the branchpoint sequence (BPS) of the intron results the bulging out of an unpaired adenosine, on the BPS, which initiates a nucleophilic attack at the intronic 5' splice site, thus starting the first of two transesterification reactions that mediate splicing.
Source: Ensembl
AUUGCUUCUCGGACUUUUGGCUAAGAUCAAGCGUAGUAUCUGUUCUUAUCAGUUUAACAUCUGAUAAGUUCUCUACCGAGAACAACGUAUUAAGCGGAUUUUUGGAGCAAGGAGUUGGAGUGGGAGCUUGCCUCGUCCACUCCACGCAUCGACCUGGUAUUGCAGUAUUUCCAGGACUGGUGCACCCCUC